UAGGGCUGCAAUUUGUUUUACGC
This 23-nucleotide non-coding RNA is filed under the name Cricetulus griseus (Chinese hamster). The record is from RNAcentral. Lineage: Eukaryota; Metazoa; Chordata; Mammalia; Rodentia; Cricetidae.